RNAcentral lists this long non-coding RNA (1701 nucleotides) under Callithrix jacchus (white-tufted-ear marmoset). Its description in RNAcentral is "lncRNA (ENSCJAG00000086343.1)". The record is from RNAcentral. Lineage: Eukaryota; Metazoa; Chordata; Mammalia; Primates; Cebidae.
AGUAUUUCCAGCUUUAUUCUCCUGCAUCUUAUCUACACCCUUUAAAGAAAUGGGGGUAAUGGAGGCUAGUCUAGCCAGAUAGCAGAGGUUGAAAACAGGUAGCUUUUUAGCUCAAUACAACCCAUAGAGAUGUCUCAACUGCAAAAUGUCAGCCCACACAAUAUGUUCCAAAAACCUUAUCAACAUUUUCAAAACUAAAUACUUUAAUACAUCACAUCUUUUUUAUUUCUAGUAUCUGUUGAAAAAUCAGAAGAUUCAGCAAUACUAGGCGCACCACCCCUGAUGAAAAAAUCCUCCUGGAUCCAGGAUGAAGCAAACUGCUUCACGAGAAGCCCUAGAGAAGAACACACAGGAGACAUAUGGAAUGAAGCAGGAUUUAUGACAGAGGACAACAAUGGGUGGGGGGUUGGUUUGCAAGACACUACUCUCUUACUCAGUUGGUAUGGCUCCAAAAGGCCUGGAAAGGUGCCAGGAAUGAGCAAAGACCCACCACAACAGAACAAACAAACAAACAACAAUAAAACCCUACCAUAUACAAUGAGAAAACAAAGAAGACAGAAAAAGAAACAUACCCCAUCGGGUUGUGUGAAGCUGUAACAGUUCUGUCUAUGAGAUACUUUCAGGGUGACCAGGGCACACUGGUUGCUCUUGUCUUGCCACCCCAAGGCAAGUCAGCACCUUCUAGAGCCAAGGAAAACUCACUGAAAGCUGAGGGGGAGAGCAGGGAGACAAGAGUGAGUGGCUACCAUAUGAUUUAUAGUGUCAGCUCCAUGAGAACAAGGAUCUUUGUCUUUCCUGUUCAGUGAAAACCACACGUGCUGGGGACAUAGUAGCCUCUCAAUAAUUAUUCUUUGAAUGAAUUUCAUCAGUUGCUAACAUUACCCUGCCAUUCCUUCAACACCGUAAGUUUUGGAUCUACUUUAUGGGGUAGGAAUGUGUCAUUUUUCUAUCAACAAACACAGGGUUUCGUUUCAAAUGUAGGUUAUCAUUCUAAACUCUUACUGUUAUUAGUUAAUGCCUUUUCCUAACAUUUGAGGGAAACAAAUCCAGGUCACAUAUAUCAGAUUCUGUUUCACAGAUUCUAGUAAGUCUCAACACUAGUACAUAUUAUUAUUACUUAAUUUUAGAACGGACCAAUAGUAUUUACAAAGUGAUAUAGGAUGUUACAGUGAAGGUUUCAGCCUUUUGCCUUGAAGCCAAUUACACAUACUCCGAGAUUUUUUUCUUGUUUCGGAGGGUCACGACACAGGAUAUCCCCUAGGGGGCAGUGUGUGCAUAUGUUUCAGCCACGCAAGGAAGGCAUUUAUGGCCGCCGAGGUAAUUGCAAAGGCUGCAGGAGAUCUGGGGGUCUAAGACACAAAUGCACUGUAUGAAGUUGUUCUUUAGGCAGAGCAGAGUGAAGGCGACCUGAAAGAACUGCUCAGUAGAGAAAAACCUAGUGACAAAGCAGAAUAUUGGGGGAUGUUAAUUUUCAAGGCUCCAGCCGCUUAAUUGCGGAAGGUUCAACACAGGAAUAAUUUGACAUGCUCCUGAACAUUUGCUAAGGGGUUUCUAAUAUUUUUAUUUAUUACCUUUUAUAUUUCAUGUUUCUGACAUCCAUGCAGAAUUGAGUUUCAUUUUCUUGUCUAUUCUAGGUGGCAGUUCAAAUUCAAUUAAAGUUAACCAGUUUUGAGUAAUAAUAGUUGAUACUGUAUUAUUGAG